UGAGAGUGGCGCACGGGUGCGCAACGCGUAUGCAACAACCCCCGACAGGCGGAUAGACCGGUGGAAAACGCCGGGAUAAUACGCCAUGGUUCCUCGGGAGGGCGAUCCUCCUGAGGAUAAAGCCGAGAGGCGGUCGGGGACGGGCAUGCGUCCCAUUAGAUGGUAGGCGGGGUGACGGCCCACCUAGUCCGCGAUGGGUAGGGGAUCUGAGAGGACGGUCCCCCACACUGGUACUGAGACACGGACCAGACUCCUGCGGGAGGCAGCAGUAAGGGAUAUUGGGUCAAUGGGGGCAACCCUGAACCAGCCAUGCCCGCGUGAGGGAAUGAGGCCCUACGGGUCGUGAACCUCUUUUAUUCGGGGACAAGGACUGGGCCGCGAACCUAGUUUGAGGGUACCGAAGGAAUAAGCAUCGGCUAACUCCGUGCCAGCAGCCGC
Molecule: ribosomal RNA, 438 nt
Filed under: uncultured bacterium
Lineage: Bacteria
Description: bacterial SSU rRNA
Rfam family: Bacterial small subunit ribosomal RNA
Source: RNAcentral